This 437-nucleotide ribosomal RNA is filed under the name uncultured Pseudoflavonifractor sp. Its description in RNAcentral is "partial 16S ribosomal RNA". It matches the Rfam family "Bacterial small subunit ribosomal RNA", at positions 341 to 792 of the family's 1533-position model. The record is from RNAcentral. Lineage: Bacteria; Bacillati; Bacillota; Clostridia; Eubacteriales; Oscillospiraceae.
ACGGAAGGCAGCAGUGGGGAAUAUUGGGCAAUGGGCGAAAGCCUGACCCAGCAACGCCGCGUGAAGGAAGGAGGCCUUCGGGUUGUAAACUUCCUUUAGCAGGGACGAAGGACGUGACGGUACCUGCAGAAAAAGCAACGGCUAACUACGUGCCAGCAGCCGCGGUAAUACGUAGGUUGCAAGCGUUGUCCGGAUUUACUGGGUGUAAAGGGCGUGUAGGCGGAGCUGCAAGUCAGAUGCGAAAUCCCGGGGCUCAACCCCGGAACUGCAUUUGAAACUGUAGCCCUUGAGUAUCGGAGAGGCAAGCGGAAUUCCUAGUGUAGCGGUGAAAUGCGUAGAUAUUAGGAGGAACAUCAGUGGCGAAGGCGGCUUACUGGGCUUUAACUGACGCUGAGGCUCGAAAGCGUGGGGAGCAAACAGGAUUAGAUACCCUGGUA